Molecule: ribosomal RNA, 197 nt
Filed under: uncultured bacterium
Lineage: Bacteria
Description: partial 16S ribosomal RNA
Rfam family: Bacterial small subunit ribosomal RNA
Source: RNAcentral
CUGAAAUUACGCCUUCCAUGAAGCUGGAAUUGCUAGUAAUGGCAGGUCAGCAUACCGCCGUGAAUACGUUCCCGGGCCUUGUACACACCGCCCGUCACACCAUGAGAGUUGGGAAUACCCGAAGCCUGUGAGCUAACUUAUAGAGGCAGCAGUCGAAGGUAGAAUCAAUGAUUGGGGUGAAGUCGUAACAAGGUAGC